UACGUAGGGGGCAAGCGUUGUCCGGAUUCACUGGGUUUAAAGGGUGCGUAGGUGGGCUGGUAAGUCAGUGGUGAAAUCUCCAGGCUUAACUUGGAAACUGCCAUUGAUACUAUCAGUCUUGAAUACCGUGGAGGUCAGCGGAAUAUGUCAUGUAGCGGUGAAAUGCUUAGAUAUGACAUAGAACACCAAUUGCGAAGGCAGCUGGCUACACGAAUAUUGACACUGAUGCACGAAAGCGUGGGGAUCAAACAGG
This 253-nucleotide ribosomal RNA is filed under the name uncultured bacterium. RNAcentral's name for it is "partial 16S ribosomal RNA". It matches the Rfam family "Bacterial small subunit ribosomal RNA", at positions 524 to 776 of the family's 1533-position model. The record is from RNAcentral.